This 450-nucleotide ribosomal RNA is filed under the name uncultured bacterium. RNAcentral's name for it is "bacterial SSU rRNA". It matches the Rfam family "Bacterial small subunit ribosomal RNA", at positions 954 to 1402 of the family's 1533-position model. The record is from RNAcentral.
GCUAAACGCGAAGAACCUUACCCACACUUGACAUGCCUCUUUUGGCUUUCAGAGAUGAUUGCCUUCGGUUCGGCCGGGGAGGUGCACAGGUGCUGCAUGGCUGUCGUCAGCUCGUGUCGUGAGAUGUUGGGUUAAGUCCCGCAACGAGCGCAACCCUUAUCGUAUGUUGCCAGCAUUUAGUUGGGCACUCGUGCGAGACUGCCGGUGAUAAGCCGGAGGAAGGCGGGGACGACGUCAAGUCAUCAUGGCCCUUACGUGUGGGGCUAGAAACGUGCUACAAUGGGAGUGACAGUGAGCAGCGAGGUCGCGAGGCCAAGCUAAUCUCCAAAAGCUCUCUCAGUUCAGAUUGUAGUCUGCAACUCGACUACAUGAAGUUGGAAUCGCUAGUAAUCGCAAAUCAGCAUGUUGCGGUGAAUACGUUCCCGGGUCUUGUACACACCGAGGUCGGUG